UACUGAUUAAGAAAAGCUGGGCCAUUGCAACAUCAUUCAAAAAUACAAAAUAUAUCCACUGAAUUAUACUCUUUUUUUUGCUAAUCAACCAAUAUGCAAUCUACACCAGUAUAUUCUCCCAAUCACACAUUCCAGUUUUGUUUAAGAACUUGCAAGAUACUAUUGAAUACCUUCUGAAAGUCUAAAUUUAUCAUAACUGUUGGUUCUACCUUAUUUAUUCUGUUAGUUAUAAUCUCACAAAAAUCUAACAGGCUUUCCACACAACUUGUUAUUCACAUUUUCUUUUGUAUUAUUAUUCACUGUGCUCUUUAACCACCGUCUUAAUAGAUUUUUAGCACUUUACCUAUUACUAAUGUCAAGAUAACUAGUUUGCUGUGAUUUUUCCUCCCCCCUUUCUUAACUAAUGGUAUUAUAUUUGCUACCAUACAGUCUGUGAUAAUCCUUGUGCUGCUGCUUGCGUGCAAUGCAGACUUCAUUGUGCACUUCUGAAAUCACUUCAAUUCAUUUGGAUUUCAUAGCUUGAGCAGCAUCUAUGUCAGUCUUCAGAUUUAUAUCAGACAUUUGAACAAAAGUUCAUUUCUUUGUUGCAUUGCAUUCAAUUCAACCAUUUGACAUGUUUCUGCAUACGACCUUUGGCCAUGACAUUAUUAAUAGAAUGGUCGUGAAAUUGCAUUAUGGAUCCUCAAAGCACAUAAAAAUUAUGGAAUCCCCUAAAGUAAAGGUGGAUUUUGGCUAAUUCAAUCACUGACAAUCUGCUAUCCUGUUUAAAUUGUGCAUAAUCUAUAUGUGGAAGUAUAUCUUUACAUAUCUUUUGAUAGAUUGUUUUGUAGACACUGCCAUUUAGAGGGAGUUCCUGCCCUCAAUAAAAUGUGUUCUCUGGAUUGAUUCUGUUAGUUAUUGUUGAAAGUAGAAACACAAUAAAAAAAAGUCUAAAGCCAAUACACUUGGGCAUAUUAUUGAAAUAUGAAUUAUAUUGUCAACGACCAAUUUUACUGGGAAUUAUGUCAGCUUGCAAAGAUAUUCUUCAUGUUUAGCUAGUUUCUUACAUUAGAAUUAAUAUGCACCACACUGGGUUGAAAUUGAAAGCAGGUGGAACUUAUUACCUCUCAUUGUUACGGAGAUUUAAUGGUCCUCUGCGUUAUACAUUGCUGUGUCUCUUUACUGCCACGAUGCAAGUAGCUUACAGCAGACAUGUGUAAAUUCAGCUAAUUUCGAAUCAUGGGUUUGGUGGAGGCCAUUCAGCCCGCUUGAACUAAUUCCUUCAGUAAAAAAUAUAUCAUGGCUGAUCUAUAUCUGAACUCCUGUUAGUCCUCUUGAUUCCACUCUUCCGAAUAACGUUGCCUCGUCAAUCUCGUUCUGAAAAAUCAAAUUAACCUCAACAUCUGUAUUAAUUGCAACACCUUUUCUCCUUUAAGUACUGAUGGUCGCAUUGUGUUAAGAUCGUAACUGCAUAAGUGUCACCUCAGGAUGUGGGAGCAGCAGUGAGUAUAAUUACACAUAAAAUCCAACAAUAAAACUGAGCAUUUAAAGCAUCGAUUGAACACAGCGAUGCCGAUCUUCUGAGAUCAACCAAGUAAACUGCAAUGUAUGUGUGUGUGUCAAAUCUCCAAUCCCCUGUGUAUAUCAGCUCACGUAUUUCGGGAAAGGUGCCGUCUUGUUUUACACGUUUUCCUUCCCAGAAGUCAGAAUGUUUGCAUGCAGAAUAACACAGAAUCACAUCAGUGUGGCAAGAGGGGUAAAAUGCGGAGAAAUUCGAGGUAAGGGGCUUCACGCACCCUGACGUGAAAAACCGCUCCAAAUGUAACCAUGAAUGAAUGGGUUCAUUAAAUAAAAAAAUCAAUACCGCCAACAGAUUAGACCCAUGCCCUUAAACUUAACUACGGCCAGUCCCGGCCUUAUGAGACUGGUACAGGGAGACUAUAUAGGACGCCUGCUGAGAUAGACAGCUUUAUCAUUUCCCAGGCACGCUGAAUCGAUUGCUAAUAUUAAUCCAGAGCUGGGUAUCCGUUCAUCGUGUUGAAGCUCUCAUUUCCCCAUGAUUUAGACGCUGUCAUGUGAUAGAUGAACUUACUUGAAAUAUCACCGACAUGUGCGGCGCCAGGACCAGGCGUGUACUGAGUAAAAGACGUCUCUAAAUAUCCAUCGCUUAAAAAGAGUACAUCAAGAGUCAAGAGUGUUUUAUUAUUAUAUGUCCCAAGACAGAACAAUGAAAUUCCUACUUGAAGCAGCACAACAGAAAUUCCAGAAAUCCAACAUUUUGGCUGUUGAAGACAUGGCUACCAGUGGUGAACCAAUUAGAAGCACCAUGUGCAAUCGGCCAAACUUGGAGAAUUGUUGGUACUUAUGAGGUUUGUAGGACAGGGAAAGAUUAAAUCCUAACUCAACAUUAAUAUCUUUCUUCUGUUUUCCCAAUGCUACUGCAUUUAAUUGCAGUAUUAUGUGAUUGAAAAUUGUUACUUAUAAUACUUAUUCAAUAAGUGUUAUGUGAUUGAAAAUUGAUAUUUUUGGAGUGAAGCACCUUAAGAAUAUUUACAUGUUGUGUCACAUAAUUCUACGAAUUUGGCUGGACACUUUGAGGAUGUCACUUUGGUGGCCCUGAUGUGAUUUCUGGCAUUAUUCCCCUACAGCAACCUCCAUGGAACAUUGUAACUAAUAAAAUCCACACCACCCUGCUCUUUGUAAGAAUCAUUGGGUCGGAUAGCAGAAAGAGGAAGACACAAACUGCUGGAGUAACUCAAUGGGACAGGCAGCAUCUCUGGAGAGAAGGAAUAUGUGAUUUUUUGGGUUGAGACCCUUCUUCCGACAGAGAUUCUCGACCCAAAAUGUCACCCUUUCAUUCUCUCCAGAGACGCUGCCUACUCCAGCAUUUUGUGUCUAUCUUCGGUUUAAACCAGCAUUUGCCAUUUUUUCCUAAACAGAAAGAGGUAAAUGGUACAUCAUGUCCAUGCUGUCUAUUGCGCUAAUCUCAUUUCCCACUUUAAAUUUGUACUUCUCAAUACAUCUGGUACAACUGAAAUUUGUAACAGUGGCCAAGGACUGAAAUUAAUACAAUGUCCAUUCAGCACAACCUGUGGGGUGCAUUCAAAUCAUUAGGAAUAUAUUGUCAUAUUUACACUGCAUUCCCAGUUCCAUUGCUGAUGGUUGUAUCCACUUUCCGUCAUAGGUUUGUGCGCACGGCAGCAGUCUCUCCUGUACAUGAAAGCCGCACUUCAGUGGCUUGAGCUUGUAAUCCAAAAUGGUACAUCAACACAUUAAUGAUGAAGCAUUGCAACAUUUUUAAUAUGAGACAGUAAAGCAAAGCCCUUUCUGGCCUCUUUGUAAUACAUAAAAUAAAACUAACAUUGUUUGAAAAAGGCCAGGAAGUCCUCCCUCGUACCCUAAUUAACAUAUAUAUCCUGUCCACCCAGGUUAGUUUAUUGUCAUGUAUAAAUGUACGGUGAGGUACAGAUACAAUGAACAUCUUGCUUGUAGCAGCAUUGCGGGCACAUAGACUCAGAAUACAUACAAAGCAUAAAUUAGACAUAAAUGGAACAUUAAUUUAGUUUUAGUCUUAUUGAUACAACAUGGAAAAAGGCUCUUCGACUCACCGCGCCCAUGCAGACCACCUAUCACCCGUUUACACUAGCCAUGUUAUCCCACUUUUCCAUCCACUCUCUACACACUUGGGGCAAUAUACAGUGGCCAAUUAACCUACUAACCCGUUUAUUUUUGGGAUGUGGGAGGAAAUGGAGCACCCGGAGGAAUCCCACACGGUCACAGGGGGAAUGUCCAAACUUCACACAAAGACCACCCCAGGGCGGGAUAAAAUCCAGGUCCCUGACGCUGUGAAGCAGCAGCUCUACCA
Leucoraja erinaceus (little skate) is the source of this 3844-nucleotide long non-coding RNA. RefSeq lists it as uncharacterized. NCBI's taxonomy places the organism in Eukaryota, Metazoa, Chordata, Chondrichthyes, Rajiformes, Rajidae. The transcript has 3 exons. The record is from RefSeq and is a predicted model, not a curated record.